UGUGUAGGCGGUUGUUUAAGUUUGGUGUGAAAUCUCCCGGCUCAACUGGGAGGGUGCGCCGAAUACUGAAUGACUCGAGUGCGGGAGAGGAGAGUGGAACUCCUGGUGUAGCGGUGAAAUGCGUAGAUAUCAGGAGGAACACCGGUGGUGUAGACGGCUCUCUGGACCGUAACUGACGCUGAGACACGAAAGCGUGGGUAGCAAACA
RNAcentral lists this ribosomal RNA (207 nucleotides) under uncultured bacterium. RNAcentral describes it as "partial 16S ribosomal RNA". It matches the Rfam family "Bacterial small subunit ribosomal RNA", at positions 568 to 774 of the family's 1533-position model. The record is from RNAcentral.